UAGCUCAACUAUAAUUCGAGA
Molecule: non-coding RNA, 21 nt
Filed under: Caenorhabditis elegans
Lineage: Eukaryota; Metazoa; Nematoda; Chromadorea; Rhabditida; Rhabditidae
Source: RNAcentral